AUUCUUACCUGAUGCCGGGGUAGCCUUGAUCAAUGAGGGGGCUCUCCCAGGACGAGGGCUAACAUUGCACUACGUUCGGGUUGACUCCUGCCACUACCCCAAGCAGGGGCAGAUGGGGCAUGCAAUUUUGGUACUGGGAGACUGCAUAUGCGCUGUCCCCCU
Molecule: small nuclear RNA, 162 nt
Organism: Ornithodoros turicata
Lineage: Eukaryota; Metazoa; Arthropoda; Arachnida; Ixodida; Argasidae
Product: U1 spliceosomal RNA
Exons: 1
Source: RefSeq, a predicted model, not a curated record